Non-coding RNA from Phascolarctos cinereus (koala), 448 nucleotides. The record is from RefSeq and is a predicted model, not a curated record. NCBI's taxonomy places the organism in Eukaryota, Metazoa, Chordata, Mammalia, Diprotodontia, Phascolarctidae.
CCUUGGUUUCUCUGAGAAGAAACUGUAAAUCUCGUCCACUGAGGAUUCCAUGAUUCUUCACGUAGCUGGGCAUGUGGAACUCAACACAUCAGUUUUGGCUCAUCCUUAUUGUGGGGGAGGAAGUUUGGGGAAGAGAAAGGAAAGCCCUGAAAAUUCAAGUCUGCCUGGAAUAGACAUUUGGAGAUGCCAAGGAGUCCCUGUGGAAAGGAAGCACACAGUCCCUGCCAAUCUAUGCUUUGAUGAAUGGCUCGGUUCCUCUUGUCAAAAAGGCAGCCUGCCUAUUAAAGAGAUCUAGUGGUCCUGGAUAAUACCUAUUUAUUAACCAAGUGACCACAAUGAUGUAAAGGAAAAUGAUGCUAGAAGACAUCAGAACUCAGAUCAAUGAAAGUGAUCAAUUUCGGCUCCAGGGGACUGAUUAUGAAACCUCCCUCCCUCUUCUCAGCAGAGG